This 201-nucleotide long non-coding RNA is filed under the name Mytilus galloprovincialis (Mediterranean mussel). The record is from RNAcentral. Lineage: Eukaryota; Metazoa; Mollusca; Bivalvia; Mytilida; Mytilidae.
GUACAGUUUGUUCUGAGUGAGGGAGUCAAGAUAGAUAAGCGAAAGCUAAUUGAGUCACCCUCUUUAGAUAAAGUCAUUACUUUCUUAUUUUUUUACUUAAAUUAUUUGUUUUUUCAUUGAGAGAGUUUGUAAAAACUGUCAAUAUUACUUCUGCAUAAGACACUUCAUUUGCAAGGAAUACAAGCUGAUAUUUAAAAGAUA